CGUCGCCACGGUAAUACGGAGGGUGCAAGCGUUAUCCGGAUUUAUUGGGUUUAAAGGGUCCGUAGGCGGACUUAUAAGUCAGUGGUGAAAGCCUGUCGCUUAACGAUAGAACUGCCAUUGAUACUGUAAGUCUUGAGUAUAUUUGAGGUAGCUGGAAUAAGUAGUGUAGCGGUGAAAUGCAUAGAUAUUACUUAGAACACCAAUUGCGAAGGCAGGUUACCAAGAUAUAACUGACGCUGAGGGACGAAAGCGUGGGUAGCGAACAGGAUUAGAUACCCGAGUAGUCCCUGUCUCUUAUACA
This 301-nucleotide ribosomal RNA is filed under the name uncultured bacterium. RNAcentral's name for it is "partial 16S ribosomal RNA". It matches the Rfam family "Bacterial small subunit ribosomal RNA", at positions 510 to 808 of the family's 1533-position model. The record is from RNAcentral.